UACCAGCACCCCGAGUGGUCGGGACGAUUAUUGGGCCUAAAGCAUCCGUAGCCGGUCAUGCAAGUCUUCCGUUAAAUCCAGCCGCUCAACGGUUGGGCUGCGGAGGAUACUACGUGGCUAGGAGGCGGGAGAGGCAAGCGGUACUCAGUGGGUAGGGGUAAAAUCCUUUGAUCCAUUGAAGGCCACCAGUGGCGAAGGCGGCUUGCCAGAACGCGCUCGACGGUGAGGGAUGAAAGCUGGGGGAGCAAACCGG
RNAcentral lists this ribosomal RNA (253 nucleotides) under uncultured bacterium. RNAcentral describes it as "partial 16S ribosomal RNA". It matches the Rfam family "Archaeal small subunit ribosomal RNA", at positions 474 to 727 of the family's 1478-position model. The record is from RNAcentral.